This is a non-coding RNA of Vigna radiata var. radiata (mung bean), 151 nucleotides long. NCBI's taxonomy places the organism in Eukaryota, Viridiplantae, Streptophyta, Magnoliopsida, Fabales, Fabaceae. The record is from Rfam.
AUCUUUGCGCUUGGGGCAAUGACGCAGCUAGUGAGGUUCUAACCGAGGCGCGUCUAUUGCUGGUUGAAAACUAUUUCCAAACCCCCUCUUAGGCCUGGGUUCAGCCUAGGCCUUCGAGAAUUUCUGGAAGGACUCCCUUUGGGGUAAAGUC